Molecule: non-coding RNA, 390 nt
Organism: Schizosaccharomyces pombe (fission yeast)
Lineage: Eukaryota; Fungi; Ascomycota; Schizosaccharomycetes; Schizosaccharomycetales; Schizosaccharomycetaceae
Source: the annotation of a GenBank genome assembly
GAAACUGGGUUGUAUUUCUAUGUAAGUGAACCACAACUUAUCAUAUUAGUGAAUGCAGAAACAUUUUUUUCGUUCUGCAAAUUAAGAGUCUUAGGCAUUCUCAUGCAAUAGCACUACGAUUUGUUACUGCAGGAAAUCCCUUAUUAGCGCAAGGCAUUCAUGUUUAAACAACUCUAAUUUUCCAACAUUCGUUCACCAGAGAUGCGUCGCUUGCCAAGUUGGAUCAGAUAGAAGGCACUUUCAAGAAAAAAAAUAAUUCUACGUCUUUUCUUACUCAAUUCUAUUGCAAAAAAACUCCAAAUCCUGGCUCUUAAAAGUAUAGUAACAGAAUAUAGCUAGGCAGAAAUGUAUGGUAACAUGUUACCUUUCAGUAGUGUAUUAUCAACACCA